This 74-nucleotide transfer RNA is filed under the name Rhipicephalus sanguineus (brown dog tick). RNAcentral describes it as "transfer RNA isoleucine (anticodon AAU)". It matches the Rfam family "tRNA". From Rfam's summary of the family: Transfer RNA (tRNA) molecules are approximately 80 nucleotides in length. Their secondary structure includes four short double-helical elements and three loops (D, anti-codon, and T loops). The record is from Rfam by way of RNAcentral. Lineage: Eukaryota; Metazoa; Arthropoda; Arachnida; Ixodida; Ixodidae.
GGCCUGCUAGCUCAGUCGGUUAGAGCGUCGUGCUAAUAACGCGAAGGUCGUAGGUUCGAUCCCUGCGCUGGCCA